AGUGAACGCUGGCGGUAGGCCUAACACAUGCAAGUCGAACGGCAGCACAGUAAGAGCUUGCUCUUACGGGUGGCGAGUGGCGGACGGGUGAGGAAUACAUCGGAAUCUACUUUUUCGUGGGGGAUAACGUAGGGAAACUUACGCUAAUACCGCAUACGACCUACGGGUGAAAGCAGGGGAUCUUCGGACCUUGCGCGAUUGAAUGAGCCGAUGUCGGAUUAGCUAGUUGGCGGGGUAAAGGCCCACCAAGGCGACGAUCCGCAGCUGGUCUGAGAGGAUGAUCAGCCACACUGGAACUGAGACACGGUCCAGACUCCUACGGGAGGCAGCAGUGGGGAAUAUUGGACAAUGGGCGCAAGCCUGAUCCAGCCAUACCGCGUGGGUGAAGAAGGCCUUCGGGUUGUAAAGCCCUUUUGUCGGGAAAGAAAAGCAGCAGGUUAAUACCCCGCUGUUCUGACGGUACCCAAAGAAUAAGCACCGGCUAACUUCGUG
This 492-nucleotide ribosomal RNA is filed under the name uncultured bacterium. RNAcentral's name for it is "partial 16S ribosomal RNA". It matches the Rfam family "Bacterial small subunit ribosomal RNA", at positions 29 to 507 of the family's 1533-position model. The record is from RNAcentral.